AGGAGAAAAUAUAUAAUCAUAUAACUCACUUUAUUCAUCUCAUAAUCUCUGCAUUUUGCAAGGAGAUCGAAACUGAGCAAAACAUACGUACACAAAGACAGAGAAAUAAAAUAUAGGGUACAAACAAUAUCAAUAGCUUAGACAACAUGAAGCUACAAAAGAACUUCGCCUCCUGUGGGGCUUAUUAUUUACUCUUUUUUUUCUUCUUCUUUUCUCAUUGCCUCUCGAAAUUGGGAAAAGCCUUUUCUUUUAGCUCAACAUUAUGCUUUUCCUGCAUAAGAAUAUACAUUGUGUGCUUAGGUUCUUAGUAAUAUCAAAAGAAACUGAAAAUUCUGAACAGCUAAUAACUGAUAAAUGAAGCUAAGAAAACAAGAAGCAGAGAGCGCAGUUCUUUAUAUUAUAUUAAUGUUUUGCAUGAACACAGUUAUAUAUGCAAUUUGCUUUGCAUUCUUGACAUAUCAUUUGGAAAAUGUCUUAAUUAAUUUGGCUUAAUUACCUUCAACUUCGUGAUGUUACUUCUUAGUAGUGGUAGGGAGGAGGAGGAGAAGCGUAAAGAUAGGGGUGGUGUGGUGCUGGAGACUUGUAGACUGGAGUUGGUGGUGGAGGUGACUUGUAAACAGGAGUUGGUGGUGGUGGAGACAUAUAAACUGGUGCAGGAUGGUAUGGUGUUGGUGAAGGAUGGUAUGGCUUCACUGGUGGCGGUGGUGACUUGUAAACUGGUGCAGGAUGAUACGGUGUUGGUGAAGGGUGGUAUGGCUUCUUGGGUGGUGGUGGUGACUUGUAAACGGGAGCUGGUGGUGGUGGCGACUUGUAAACUGGUGUGUGUGGAGGGUAGUAUGGCUUCUUGGGUGGUGGUGGUGACUUGUAAACUGGAGUUGGUGGUGGUGGUGACUUGUAAACCGGGGUGUGUGGAGGGUAGUAUGGCUUCUUGGGUGGUGGUGGCGACUUGUAAACUGGAGUUGGUGGUGGUGGAGACUUAUAAACCGGGGUGUGUGGAGGGUAGUAUGGCUUCUUGGGUGGUGGUGGCGACUUGUAAACUGGAGUCGGUGGUGGUGGAGAUUUGUAAACAGGGGUGUGUGGAGGGUAGUAUGGUUUCUUGGGUGGCGGCGGUGACUUGUAAACCGGAGUUGGUGGUGGUGGCGACUUGUAAACUGGGGUGUGUGGAGGGUAGGAUGGCUUCUUGGGUGGUGGUGGUGACUUGUAAACGGGAGUUGGUGGUGGUGGCGACUUGUAAACCGGGGUGUGUGGAGGAUAGUGUGGCUUCUUGGGUGGUGGUGGUGACUUGUAAACUGGAGUUGGUGGUGGUGGAGAUUUAUAAACGGGUGCAGGAUGAUAUGGUGUUGGUGAAGGGUGGUAUGGCUUCUUAGGUGGCGGUGGAGACUUAUAUACAGGGUGGUGGGGUGGUGAUGGAUAGACAUGCACUGGUGGAAGAGGAGACUUGUAGAGGUAUGGUUUCUUAGGUGGUGGUGGAGAU
This 1474-nucleotide long non-coding RNA is filed under the name Nicotiana tabacum (common tobacco). RNAcentral describes it as "long non-coding RNA (NTAB_LNC000477)". The record is from RNAcentral. Lineage: Eukaryota; Viridiplantae; Streptophyta; Magnoliopsida; Solanales; Solanaceae.